This 484-nucleotide ribosomal RNA is filed under the name uncultured bacterium. RNAcentral's name for it is "partial 16S ribosomal RNA". It matches the Rfam family "Bacterial small subunit ribosomal RNA", at positions 30 to 507 of the family's 1533-position model. The record is from RNAcentral.
AUUGAACGCUGGCGGCAGGCCUAACACAUGGAAGUCGAGCGGAUGAAGGGAGCUUGCUCCUGGAUUCAGCGGCGGACGGGUGAGUAAUGCCUAGGAAUCUGCCUGGUAGUGGGGGAUAACGUCCGGAAACGGGCGCUAAUACCGCAUACGUCCUGAGGGAGAAAGUGGGGGAUCUUCGGACCUCACGCUAUCAGAUGAGCCUAGGUCGGAUUAGCUAGUUGGUGGGGUAAAGGCCUACCAAGGCGACGAUCCGUAACUGGUCUGAGAGGAUGAUCAGUCACACUGGAACUGAGACACGGUCCAGACUCCUACGGGAGGCAGCAGUGGGGAAUAUUGGACAAUGGGCGAAAGCCUGAUCCAGCCAUGCCGCGUGUGUGAAGAAGGUCUUCGGAUUGUAAAGCACUUUAAGUUGGGAGGAAGGGCAGUAAGUUAAUACCUUGCUGUUUUGACGUUACCAACAGAAUAAGCACCGGCUAACUUCGUG